AAAGUCGUAACAAGGUUUCCGUAGGUGAACCUGCGGAAGGAUCAUUAUGAAUUUGAACUUGUGUAGUGGUUUGUUUCGAAUUAACGUUUGAACGCCCUCGCAAUUCUUUUUCUGUGAACUGUUCUUGAGCUUUUCAAUUUAUUUUGGAAAGCUUGGGUUACUUUUUUUGUUUUCUUGUAUUAUUCCACUUUUUUUUUUGAGUAAUUCUUGCAAAAGAAUGAAAAAAAAAACAUAAAAACCAAGACAACUUUCAGCAAUGGAUCUCUUGGCUCUU
RNAcentral lists this unclassified non-coding RNA (274 nucleotides) under Chytridiomycota sp. RNAcentral's name for it is "partial contains small subunit ribosomal RNA, internal transcribed spacer 1, and 5.8S ribosomal RNA". The stretch from base 1 to 47 matches the Rfam family "Eukaryotic small subunit ribosomal RNA", at positions 1785 to 1831 of the family's 1831-position model. The record is from RNAcentral. Lineage: Eukaryota; Fungi; Chytridiomycota.